UCAAAUUCUUUCUCUUCUCUUCUGCUGUCUCCAGGUACUGUCAUGUCCACUUUCCAGACUUUUUGUUUUUCUUAUCAUUGCUUGUUAAGUCUGAGAUGUUAGCUGGCUAGUGCUUGUCUGUCUAUUCUAAAGUCCCAGAACUCUUUAACUUCUUCAUUUUCUAUUACUUUGUCUAUUUUGUGGUCCCAGCAGUUCUUGCUUACAGGCAAAUGGUACUUCUUGCGAAUAUUCCAAUGCGUCAUUGUUGCUACUUUCUCAUGCCAUUGUUUGUAUUCAGUCUGUGUGAUCUUCUUGCAGCAGCUAUCUAGGUGGUCCACUGUUUCUUCAGCUUCUUUGCAGAGGCAGCAAAGAAGUCUGCUGUUGACUUCUCUAUUCUGGCUUUGUGUGCAUUUGUUCUUAAGGCUUGGUUUUGUGCAAUCAGAAUUAACCCCUCUGUCUCUUUCUUCAGUUAUCGUAUUCUUAGCCAUUACUGUACCAGGUCUUGUUAUCCGCUUUGCCUGCCUUAAAAAAAAAUGCACUGGCCAUUGCCUUGCCAUGUUUUUUUCCCUUAUUCUUUAUUUGAUCUUUCUCGUAAGCCAGUUUAGUCUUUUCAGUACUUAAUAAACCUUCGUGGUACAUUAGCUUUAGUGCAUCUUUUUCUCUGUGCUUCAGAUAUUCUCCCAAUACAUUUUUUUCUUCUUUAAUUGUCUGGUAUACUUGCAAUAUUCCACACCCACCUAUUUUCCUUAUUAUUAUGUGUGAGUAAUCUACAGUUAGAUUCACAAUCUAAAACUGGAGGAAACAAUAAUUCAAGCCCUAAUCAAGGACUAAACAAUAGUUAAAGUAGUGUUUAAGAACACAGGCAGUUCCAAGUAGCAUGGGUUGGUUUGGUUUUGUCUUUUUUGUAAAAUUAGGUGUCAGGCUUGAUAAAUUCAAUGUUUCCAGAUAUCAAGGACAUCCUUUAGGUAUAUUAUUACUAUUCCGAGACUCAUACAAGGGAUGACCUACAGUACUUUCCCCAGUCAUAAGGAACAACUGGUUUAAAAUAUUAUAACGUUAGGCCUAAAACCAAGAACGAUGCAUAGUGAUGCUUCCAAGCUGCGUUCUUUAUCCUUUUCACACUUAUAAACAAAAUCCUGCCAGACUGAGGAAUCUACUAUCUGCAUCUACAAUAUGUUCUGUAAACUAUUAGAGAGGGGCUGUCUUCCUUGUCUUUCUCUCACAUGUAGUAACAUUCAUAUUGUGUUGCCUCAUAUUCUUCUGAAAUAUAUUCGCUCCCUCCUGGGACUCCACCUCCUUACUACAUUCCAUCAUAUAUGACAAGAUAAAGGUAGCAGCUUUUCGUAGACUUUAAAAUCCAGUCAAAGGUGUUCUGCUAGACGCUCUGUCAUCUUGGUGCUGGCACAUCAUUCAUUUCAUUAUGGGUUCUAAUUUGGUUGGUAUCACAACACUAUUACAUUUAUCUCUAUUUCAGCUUAGACUAAUUUAAUUGAUAGAAUUCUGUGUCCUUGCUAUUACAAGAGACAAUUAGCUCUCAUUAGUUUACAUUUCACUCAUUUUCUACUGACUGAUUGCACUACAUACUGAUACUUGCUAAUAUCAAUAUGUAAUGCAAUCAGCCUGAGGAAAAUGUCGGUACAGAGUCUCUACAAACUAUCACACUUAUUCUGAUUGUCUUCAAAGUACCAAUAUUUGCCUACAAUUUAAUAGUUUCAUAAUGCAAUAUUUGGUAUUAAGAGUUAUCAUUUGAAGGUCACAUCCUUCAUCAUAAUUGCUCAAAGCAAGAACUAAUGAAGAUUGCAACAUAUUCACAUGUUAUAUUUCCAGGAUGACCUUCAAAGAAGAGGAAGUGUUUGACAGAAGACUUUUUGUUUCUCUCUUCCUCUUUCUUCCACUUUUCCUCCUGGAUUCAUCUUUCCUCCCCUUUCCUUUGUUCAGGUCCUACAGCCACCCAAAUGGAGAGCUUUAGCUGAGCUGGAAUAAGCAGCUGAUGCUUUGUAGUCGAGGUGAAGAGGUCAUGCAAGUUGUGCUACUGUUAAUUUGCCCUCUAAGCCCUUCCAGCAGGGAGCCUAUCGUGGCAAGAAACGGAGCAAGGAGAUUUGCCUACCAGAUUAUUAUAUGAGAAAUACUAAAGAUUCAAAAGAAAAAAAGGGCAAGUAGGUUUUUUGUAACUCGUUUAGCAUAAUCCACUGAGCAGUCAAGGACACCCCUUAAUAAAUGCCCUGUAACUUUAGUCCAAUCAAAUGUACUUCUGUGUCCAUGUUUCUUAAUGUCUUGUUUUUGAGACAAAUGUGUUGUUGCGUGACACCUUGGGCGCAUUGUAUUCUUUUUUCUCUGUCUGUCUUUCUCCCCAGGUGUGUAUGUGGUGUUGUGUUUGCAUGUCGUUGAAAGCUUCUCACACCGUAUUAGAGAUUAUGUGGCGAAUAAUGACUGGAAAAAUAUACCUUUCUUUAAUAAGCCAUUUCAUGAUGGCAAAUAUCUUUCCCUCAAUCUUCACAGUUGGUUUUGUGCAGGUAUAUAAAAGUAAAAUACUUAGUCCCGAAGAAACCAGAAAGCAUAAAAUAAAGAGCUUUAGGCUGGAGAACUAAAUACAUGGUUUCAAACUAACAUUUUUCCCCCUUAAGAGCAAGCAAAAAUCAGGAUGUUUGAAUGCCACAGUUGCUAAAAUAAAUCUAUGAAUCAGGGCUUCCCUCAACUGGGCUAAGCCUUUAGGCAGAAACUAAUUGCUGCAAACACUAAUUUUCAGCUCCCUUUUGUCUCCUAUAGCAGGCACCUCUGGAUGCAGAAGGUACCCAAUUAGCAGAAUUCAUGGGCCUGAUUGUGUAUUGUGGGGCAAGUGUGUGAAUAGUAUAAACACUGCUGAUUACUAUUCCACUGUAACACUGUAAUGGCUGAUUUUUUUUUUGUUGAUUGCUUAAUAAGGCCAUCUAUUCUACAUCAGUCUCUGGCAAAGCUGCUGGGAAAUCAGCUAGGUCACUUUUCCUGGUCAUACUAGCAGAAGAAGCCUUGUGAUGCUAACAGAUGACUAAAGGCAUAAUUACAGGCUAUUUAAUCACAUCUGUUUCCCCACUUAACAUUGUUUGCUCAAGUUAGAUGUAGUUUUAAAAAAAUCAAAAGGACAAUAAUGGCAUACAGACUAAAAAAAUUACCAUUGCAUGGUUAAAACUCUAGGGCUUGUUAUAAUUACAGAAAACAGAGUUUACUGUGAUUUUAAAAGGCAUUAAUUUAUAUUAGUGUGUUUCUAUACACAUAUUGAGGAUGACUGGUUGUUUGGAGACGAGGGAGAGGAGGAGUGUAUUUCACUUGUACAUGCACUCUUGUGGGUGAAAUGAAGUUUUUAAUAGUAUUAUUUAAAUGGAAGUGCUGCUGAAUAUGUUUCAUUUGGAAACUAAAAUUAAAUUCAAGUUCAAGAUGACAGGUAUUUUCAUUAAGCAUUCUGAGAAAAAGUAUUCCUUUUUAUAUCACAUCUAAAAAAAUGAGGGUAGCCAUAUAUUAUUACAUUAUAAGGAGGGUCACCACUGGAAAAGCCAUGCCUUUCUGUGGGGAGAGCGUCUGGAAUAGAGCAACAUUCAAGCCCCAGUCAGUAGGAUUAUAGCUUGCAGACUGUCUUCAAGGAAUAGCUCAUGUAAAGGUAAUGCAAUAAUCUGAAUGAGAGAUAACCAAGGCAUGCGUAAUUGUGACCAUGAUCUCCCUAUCCAAGAACAGACAUCAUUUGCACCCAGUAGAGAUUUGUGCAAAGCCUCUUCAUGCUACGGUGUUCAUCUGCUCAUCAAGAAGGGAUUGAGAGUCCAAGAGACCCUAAAUUGCAUGCCAGUUUUGUUUGGGGAAGUGAACAUUUGAAACGUCCUCAAGUCCAUAGGAACAUUGCUAGAGUGGAGUCUGAACCUGCUUUCUCCCCAUCCAAAUUCCUACAAGCUCCAGAUAUUAGGACAAUCUCAGGGCACCUGCACAAAGCAUUACAAUUGUGAUUUCUUCCUGUCCUUGAGAUAGAACACAAAAACUGCUGCCUACACAGCCUACCUUUAUCAAUCUUUGAGGUCAGCCUGAUCAAGCUUGGUAUUUCGAGCUGGGAAGGCUGUUAAUUCCAACCUCAUUGGCAGGUUUCCUUUUUCCAAGGUUUCUCAGUAAAAGCUGCCACAGCAACAUGCAACCAUGGUUACAGUUACUGGGAAAAAUGCUUUGUUGCAAAAUUGCCAGCAUGCUCUCUGUUCACAAUCACAACUAGCAAAAAGUAUUUUAAAUGCAACAGAUGAAUCAGGUGGCUUUACAACUAUUCUUCAAAACCAACUGCUCAGAUAUGAUGAUGAUGAUGAUGAUGAUGAUGAUGAUGAUGAUGAUGAUGAUGAUGAUGAUGAUGUACCCAAUCAGUUAAGUGUACACAGUAGGUUCUGGAAACAUGAAUGUGGAAACAGGAAUUAAUUAUUUAUUUUAUUUGCUAUGGAUGGAUUGGAUAGGGAAUGUGACUGCAGUAAUUUGGCAUGGGGGGAGCAUUAAUUGAAUAACAGAGUGGAAAAGUACUGAUUUUUUUUCUGGCAUAUUGCCUGCAUUUCAGAAUUCACAGAAGUGUAGACAAUCGAUCACCAGCUUCAAACUGGCCAGUGAAACGUAAAGGAAUGAAAACUGUGUGAUGCCAGAGUUCCCUAAUUGACAGUGUAAACUUUUGCACAUCUCUCAAAAGCAAGCUACACCAUGUUACAAAUGAUUUCCAAUUGGGGCUCUGAAAGCUUCUGGGUCCUCUUGCCAUUUCAAGAUAAACCAUCAAAGCACUGGCCAAGAUGAGGAAAUCCAAGAGAUUUUCCUUUUAGGUUUCCUGGAUAACCAAAUUGAAAGACAACACAAGACUUUGUUUCUUUAUAUGACAAAAGAGAGAGAGAGACUUUUGUACGCACAGAAAUGGAAGGACUUACAAAUUCCCACAAUGGAAGAGCAGAUGGUGAAGUUAAUGGAAUUGGCUGAAAUGGUGAAAUUGACUAUUUGAUGCAAGAAAAGGCUUUGCUAAGCUUUGUUUCUACCUGGAGACUGCUUUUGGAUUUUUUGCUUGAAAUUGAAAGAAAUGAAACUUUAAUUUUGAGAUGUGACAGAAGUGUUUAUAAUUAUAGAAAUAAUGUGUGCUAUUCUUAAUCAUAGAGUAAAAAGUAAACGUACUUUAUAUUUAUCUCUGUACUGAAGAAAGCCAGAAGUUACUCUUUUCUUACUUUUUUCUUUCUUUUUCUUUUUUUUUGCAUUCUUAACUUCGUCUUUUUUA
This is a non-coding RNA of Thamnophis sirtalis, 5224 nucleotides long. The record is from RefSeq and is a predicted model, not a curated record. NCBI's taxonomy places the organism in Eukaryota, Metazoa, Chordata, Lepidosauria, Squamata, Natricidae.